This is a long non-coding RNA of Drosophila serrata, 388 nucleotides long. Lineage: Eukaryota; Metazoa; Arthropoda; Insecta; Diptera; Drosophilidae. The record is from RefSeq and is a predicted model, not a curated record.
AAAAUAUUGUGUUGGGAUACCAUCAAUCAUAAAGUUUACUAUUUGGCUACACAAGAGAAAAAACCAGGCCAAAAACAUUUAUAUUCUGUUAAAGAUCCAGUACACGAUGAUGUCAGAAGAACUGAACCACAAUGCAUAACAUGUGACUUAGGCGAAGACCUUUGGAGUAGUCGCUACUACUAUAUUAACUGUUCGCAUUUUGACGCCUUUAUAACACCAUCGUUAUAUGUUGCAACAACUUAUGGAAUUCAGUUCUACAUUUUGGAGUGUCAAGGUCCAGGACUACCAGUAUCGGGAGUGCAUUUGCAUAAAACACAUAGCUUAGUGAAAAUUUUAUAUGAUACACGGCCAUUUUAUAAAGAAAAACUUCAAAAGCUAGCAUUACCAA